CAGAAAGUGAGCAGGUUUUGCGCUUGUUUUGGGAACAAGAGGUCGCUGGUUCGAACCCAGUCACCCCGACCA
RNAcentral lists this transfer RNA (72 nucleotides) under Rickettsiales bacterium. RNAcentral's name for it is "tRNA-Ser". The record is from RNAcentral. Lineage: Bacteria; Pseudomonadati; Pseudomonadota; Alphaproteobacteria; Rickettsiales.